RNAcentral lists this small RNA (2030 nucleotides) under Pan troglodytes (chimpanzee). RNAcentral describes it as "processed transcript". Lineage: Eukaryota; Metazoa; Chordata; Mammalia; Primates; Hominidae. The record is from RNAcentral.
CCUGGCCCGCCUGCCUGGCCACUCUUCCUCCAUCAGCCUGGCUGGCAGCAGCCUUGGACUCCGCCCGUGGAGCCCUGGGCCUGUUGACCCACCAGCCUAGGAGCACCCACCAAGCUCUGGGUCAACGUGGAGGUACCAGGCCACCAUGCUCAGUCUCAAGCUGCCCCAACUUCUUCAAGUCCACCAGGUCCCCCGGGUGUUCUGGGAAGAUGGCAUCAUGUCUGGCUACCGCCGCCCCACCAGCUCGGCUUUGGACUGUGUCCUCAGCUCCUUCCAGAUGACCAACGAGACGGUCAACAUCUGGACUCACUUCCUGCCCACCUGGUGAGGGGAGGCUCUGCCCCAGGCCGCGGCCUUGAGCUCAGAGGGGGUACCCAGGCGGGCAGGGACCGUCCAGGCCCACGGGCUGCAGCGGCAGUCGCGGGGGUCCGCGGCGGCCUGAGCACGCGCCCGCCGCAGGUACUUCCUGUGGCGGCUCCUGGCGCUGGCUGGCGGCCCCGGCUUCCGUGCGGAGCCGUACCACUGGCCGCUGCUGGUCUUCCUGCUGCCCGCCUGCCUCUACCCCUUCGCGUCGUGCUGCGCGCACACCUUCAGCUCCAUGUCGCCCCGCGCGCGCCACAUCUGCUACUUCCUCGACUACGGCGCGCUCAGCCUCUACAGUCUGGGCUGCGCCUUCCCCUAUGCCGCCUACUCCAUGCCGGCCUCCUGGCUGCACGGCCGCCUGCACCAGUUCUUUGUGCCUGCCGCCGCACUCAACUCCUUCCUGUGCACCGGCCUCUCCUGCUACUCCCGUUUCCUGGAGCUGGAAAGCCCUGGGCUCAGUAAGGUCCUCCGCACAGGAGCCUUCGCCUAUCCAUUCCUGUUCGACAACCUCCCACUCUUUUAUCGGCUCGGGCUGUGCUGGGGCAGGGGCCACGGCUGUGGGCAGGAGGCCCUGAGCACCAGCCAUGGCUACCACCUCUUCUGCGCGCUGCUCACUGGCUUCCUCUUCGCCUCCCACCUGCCUGAAAGGCUGGCACCAGGACGCUUUGAUUACAUCGGCCACAGCCACCAGUUAUUCCACAUCUGUGCAGUGCUGGGCACCCACUUCCAGCUGGAGGCAGUGCUGGCUGAUAUGGGAUCACGCAGAGCCUGGCUGGCCACACAGGAACCUGCCCUGGGCCUGGCAGGCACAGUGGCCACACUGGUCUUGGCUGCAGCUGGGAACCUACUCAUUAUUGCUGCUUUCACAGCCACCCUGCUUCGGGCCCCCAGUACAUGCCCUCUGCUGCAGGGUGGCCCACUGGAGGGGGGUACCCAGGCCAAACAACAGUGAGGCCCCAUCCCUGACCCUGUCCUGGAGGGGGCAGAGGCCAGGCCCCAGUGCUGACGAGGAGCCCAGAUUUGGGCCUAAUCAGGUGGGGAUGCAUCUCAGCCUGGAACCAACAGGGGCUGAGGAGAGAGGGCACAGGAGAGAGGGCAGAGAAGAGGAGGGGUGUCUAGGGGGACUGGCAGAGUGUGAGAGGGACCGUGAGGGGGCUCUUGAUGGGAGUGGAAGAAGUGCUGAGGGUCUGAGAGGGGAGAUGCAUGCGUGUCCAGGCUGAAGAUGCCCCUAUAUUCUGUCAAAGGUUGGCGGGGGGAGGUGUUGGGGUCCUUUCAUCUGGCUCCGUUUCUGGUGCUUCUGGAAGUCUCUGCUCAGCACAGGGAAGAACUAACACGACUAACCUAGGCCUACCCUGAAUGCUUCUUGCUAACCAGGCCGAGAGGCCACACACUUGCCCCCCCCAUCCCCACAAACCAGGUAAUGCCAGUUUGCCAGCAGCUAUUUGCCUAUAGAGAUGAGUCUGUCCUGGUCAUAACUGUGUGCCCAAGGUGUCCAGGCUUUUGGGGGUGGGCCUAUCUGGGUGCAUUAUGGAUGGUUUGGUGGAUUGAGGUGUGGGGAGGAGGGUCCUAGGCUAGAGGGGGUAUCCCUAGUUAGACUUUGGGAAGCCACCUUCAAUGUUUUCUGGAACAAGGAAGGUACAAAUAAAAAAAAAAAACUUUGGAAAGCA